RNAcentral lists this long non-coding RNA (1830 nucleotides) under Homo sapiens (human). RNAcentral's name for it is "HSALNT0191937". The record is from RNAcentral. Lineage: Eukaryota; Metazoa; Chordata; Mammalia; Primates; Hominidae.
CAGGCUACAGCCAGUCUUCUCAUUGGAACUAUAGAAUCUACUCUCCUGUUCUCUUUCUCUAGAGAAUGCUGACUAAUACAGAUUUUGAUACUGUGAAGUGGAAUACUGCUGUAACAAAUACCUACACAGCAGGCCUUGCCACUGCCAGCCAGUGCCUCAGAAACAAACCUCGCUGCCCAGAAUGAUGGUGGUGGUUCUACCUUCUAGGGCUGUGGGGAUGAUGCUGCCACAAUCGUUGAGACGAAGAGGAUUAUUCUGAGCCUUAUGAUCUAAUGGAGUUUGCCUUGAUAGAUUUUGAACUUAUUGGGGACCUGUCACCCCUGACUUCUUAUCAAUUUCUCCCUUUGAGUGAGAAUGUCUACCCUAUCCUAGUUCCACAUUGUAUGUGGGAAGCAUAUAACUCAUCGAGUUUCACAGGUUCACAGCUAGAGAGAAAUUUAACUUCAAGAUAAAUCAUACUUCAAGUUUCACGGCUACCUAAUUUAUAUAUGUAGAUGAUACUCUGGAUUUAGAGUUGAUCCUGGAAUUAGUUAAGAUGUGUCAGACUAUUGCGAGGGGUGAAUGUAUUUUGCAUGAGAGAGGACAUGAAUUGUGGGGGACAUGCAGAGAGUGGGACUGAAUGAUGUUCCCCCAAAUUCAUAUGUUGAAGUCCUAACUCUCAAUAUAAUUGCAUUCGAAGAUAAGGCCUUUCAGGAGAAAUUAGGUUAAAUGAGGCCAUAAAAGCAGGCCUUAAUCCAACAUGAAGAGAUACCAUGAAUUCACAUGAACACAGAAGAAAGAUUGUGUGAGAACAGCAAGAAGGCAGGUAUUUGCAAGACAAGGAGAGAGGUCUCAGGAGAAACCAAACUUGCCAACAAGUUGAUCAUAGACUUCCAGCCUCCAAAACAGUGAGAAAAUAAAUUUCUGUUGUUUCAGCCACCCAAACUGUGGUAUUUUGCUAUGGCAGCCUUUAGGUCAGUUAGCAAGUAAAACAAAGGCUGUGAUUAAAACCGAAUUUUAUUGAUUUCAUUGGCUCCAGAAAUUAUAUUGUAUCACUAUAAAAAUUGAUUUUUUAAAAAAGGAAGGUAGGCAACUUUAAUGCUUGGUUUGUAUUCACUUCUGGCUGCCUAGAAGAAAAUGAAUAUGAACUUUUGUUUCCAUACAAGCUCUAAGGCUGAAUGUUUUUGAUGAUAUAUUAUCAGUUAUCUUGUUUUACAAUGAAAUAUACAGAUUUUUUUUUUUACUUACAAUGAUGUUACUUCCUAAUAAACCCAUAAUCAAAAUGUCAAAACUGCAUCUACUACCCUGAUAAAUGCAAAGUCAAAACUUUGUAAGUCUGGGACUGUAUUAGACCAUUCUUGCAUUGCUCUAAAGAAAUACCUGAGACUGGGUAAUUUAUAUAAAAGGGAAUUAAUUGGCUCAUGGUUUGGCGGGCUAUACAGAAAGCAUGAUGCUCACUUCUGCUCAGCUUUUAGGGAGGCCUCUGGAAGCUUACAAUUAUGGCAGAAGGUGUAGGCGGAGCAGGCGUCUCACAUGGUGGGAGCAGGAGCAAGAGAACUUGGGGGAGAUGCUACACACUUUUAAAUGAACUGAUCUCACAAUAACUUACUCAUUAUCACAAGGACAGUACCAACGGGAAUGGUGCUAAGUCAUUCAUGAGAAAUCUGUCCCCAUGAUCCAAUCACCUUCCACUAGGCCACCAGGCCCCACCUCCAACACUGGGAAUUACAUUUCAAUAUGAUAUUUGGGCAGGGACACACAUCCAAACUAUAUCAGGAACCAUCUGUAAUAAAUUUAAUGGAAAGUUCAAAAAUUGUAAUAAUUUCCAACUAACUUAACUGCGAAUAUAAG